UUGGAUCAUGAAUGUUCUUAGGUAAUUCUUGCAAGACUUUGAGCAAAAAUUUCCGUAUACUUGUUGUCUAUAAUAUGUAUUCACAGAUAUGCUUUGAUUAUUUUCGUUUGUAUUGCCAUUAGUUGUCUGUUCCCAUAUAAUUUUUUGAUGGUUACUCUUUUCAAUUACUAGUUUUUAUGAAGAGAGAGGAAUUGAUGUGCCUGUGUCCCUGAAAUUAUGUGUCUAAUUUAGCCUGAGCCAUCCAGUUCUUUUACGAUCUUGGGGCACAAUCUUGACUUAGGUUUGCCUUUGCUGUCUAAAAAAUUUGAUUCUUAUGCUUUUUAUGAUAUAUAUUUGAUGAUUGGACCUUCCUUGUCAAUUAGCUUUGCAAAUAGACUAUAUGAGUAUUCAUUACUAAAAAUUUUGUUUCGGAGAAAUUCAUUCAUUUCGGUUAUUUUCUCAAAAAGAAAAUGAAGAAAACAGAGGGUCCUUUUUUUCUUAAGCUUGAAAGAAAGGAUUCUUUUGAAACUCUUUUGAAACACAAGGAAGAGUUCAUUUUCUCUCGCCUUUGGCAUAGUGGGCCCCAGUGGGAGGCUCGCAUGACGGGCUAUUAGCUCAAGAGCUCUCUAUCUAAGACCUUCUAAUUGAGAUAUGAAUCUACACUAGGUUGUACAAAAAAAGCUACACCUUUCGCUUGGUUGUGCUAUCAUUUUCUUGUUUAUACUGUAAAUAGUUAGAUGCAUGCUAUUGAAGCAACUAUAAAUAUGAAAUUCACCAGAUUGCCUAUUGCACAAAUAAACUGCAAUCAAAGUGUAUCAAAAGCAAUUCCAUUGGUUUUUUUUUUUAGGUGCCUCAGAAUAGAAUUACCUGGUGGGGAGCCUGGGAUUGACAACGGUGUUUUGAUUAAGUGGAAGGCAGAGUUUGGGCCCACGCUAGAUAAUUGUGUCAUUCUUAGAGCUUCUGCUGUUAUUACGGCCGCAAACAGUGCGUGUUCGAGUGCUUGCAAUGUUAAUAAUGAUAAUGAAGCUGAGGACGAUAAUGGGAACAUACCCGAGUCGUUUUACGCGAAGUGGACAGUAAGCUCCUUAAUUUCUGCUUCAGCAAGUCAUUACAUGCUGCAGCCAAUAAUAGCAGAGCACAGGAAGUUGGACAGUUUGGUUUUGACUGAUGCCGAUGGGCAAGGGGUGUUGUCGAUGAAUAAGGACCAAUUGGAGGAGCUGAGGGUGAAGCCUUUAUUAGCCUCCGCUUCUAAUAGGACUUUGGUUCCAUCUCUCAAAAUGCAGCUGUGGUACGCCUCUCUUUUGGAAUUACCCAAUGGAAUGGUCUUGAAAGGGGCAACUCUGGUUGCAGUCAGGCCCAGUGAACAGCCAAAGGAGGUGAUCGGUUCAGAAGGAAAUUGGGUUGCCUCAAAACUCGAGGAGCCAUUCGGGACCGCAGCAAGGAUGUUGAUGAAAAGAAGGACUUAUUGUCUGGAAAUGAACUCAUUCUAAGAUGAGCUUCGCUCAAGGGUUGGAUCAUGAAUGUUCUUAGGUAAUUCUUGCAAGACUUUGAGCAAAAAUUUCCGUAUACUUGUUGUCUAUAAUAUGUAUUCACAGAUAUGCUUUGAUUAUUUUCGUUUGUAUUGCCAUUAGUUGUCUGUUCCCAUAUAAUUUUUUGAUGGUUACUCUUUUCAAUUACUAGUUUUUAUGAAGAGAGAGGAAUUGAUGUGCCUGUGUCCCUGAAAUUAUGUGUCUAAUUUAGCCUGAGCCAUCCAGUUCUUUUACGAUCUUGGGGCACAAUCUUGACUUAGGUUUGCCUUUGCUGUCUAAAAAAUUUGAUUCUUAUGCUUUUUAUGAUAUAUAUUUGAUGAUUGGACCUUCCUUGUCAAUUAGCUUUGCAAAUAGACUAUAUGAGUAUUCAUUACUAAAAAUUUUUUUUCGGAGAAAUUCAUUCAUUUCGGUUAUUUCUCAAAAAGAAAAUGAAGAAAACAGAGGGUCCUUUUUUUCUUAAGCUUGAAAGAAAGGACUCUUUUGAAACACAAGGGAGAGUUCAUUUUCUCUCGCUUUUGGCAUAGUGGGCCCCAGUGGGAGGCUCGCAUGACGGGCUAUUAGCUCAAGAGCUCUCUAUCUAAGACCUUCUAAUUGAGAUAUGAAUCUACACUAGGUUGUACAAAAAAAGCUACACCUUUCGCUUGGUUGUGCUAUCAUUUUCUUGUUUAUACUGUAAAUAGUUAGAUGCAUGCUAUUGAAGCAACUAUUAAUAUGAAAUUCACCAGAUUGCCUAUUGCACAAAUAAACUGCAAUCAAAGUGUAUCAAAAGCAAUUCCAUUGGUUUUUUUUUUUUUUUGUAGUAGUAUUGAAUACAUUGCUUCAUUUAUUUCCAUCGAUGCAUUUGUUGACGUCAAAACUUGCUAAUCACGAUUUUGAGCCAACUUUUAAGAAGACAAGCACUUUUUCUUGAUAAUGGAGGUUAUAAGUAUUAUUAUUAUUAUUAUUUUUUUUUUUGGGAGUGAAUUGCCUUUUUAUAUAAUUAUUGUUGUGGUCCCUUGUCCCCUCAGGGCUACUGAGGUGAAUAUUCGGCUUUAAACUUCAGUGCUUCGUGGAAUUAGUAGAGGUGUGCGUAAGUUGCCCCGGACAAUCAUGGUAAAAAAAAAUAAUAAUAAUAAAUAAAUUUAUUGUUGUGGCCCUUGGAGGGGACCAUCAUUUUCUUUUUAUAGAGUGAAUUAAGUCUAAUUCUUAUGGAAUUAUGUCUUGUCAAUCGGAUCAUUCAUAAUGCUGAGCUUGAUUUGUGUGCCACCGAUCUCUUAUUUGAUUGGCUACUGAGGUCGACUCUCAUUAAAUCGUAAUUAUUCCCUUUUUAUCAAAAAAAUAUAGUCCGCUUCAGGAUAGGUAGCUAUAGUAGCUAAGUCGUGGGUUUGGACGGUGUUGACGUUAUUUCUUCUAAGUGUGUCUGACUGAUUGGGUGAUUGACAAGGUGUAAGGAAUUUGCAAUCAUUAUGUUUAUUAAAAUUACGACGGUCACGAGAUCGAGUUGAGCUUUCAAACCCGACUUGGUAUGUAGAUGAGAUAGGCUGUAAACAUAUUUUAAGUGAGAUCGGGGAUCAAUGGUCAACAGCAUUCAUGCGUCAGUAAGGGAUAUAUUUCUACAGUUCCAGAUAAGUUUGUUUUGAGUUUUAGGCUACUGAACCUGAGCAAUAAGGCAGCUAUUUAUAUUAGUAUGUGACAGUGAUGUUUAUUAUUAUUAUUUUUUUGUUAGUAUAAAUUUUCUUGCUACGUUUCCACUAAUAGAAAUUUUCAAUUUGCAAAAAUGGGAACUGGGUUUAACCUGGAAAAGCUCACCACUUUACGUGAUUUAUUCGAUUUAAUUUAGGUCCAUUUCAUUUGUG
RNAcentral lists this long non-coding RNA (3343 nucleotides) under Olea europaea (common olive). RNAcentral's name for it is "long non-coding RNA (OEUR_LNC006428)". Lineage: Eukaryota; Viridiplantae; Streptophyta; Magnoliopsida; Lamiales; Oleaceae. The record is from RNAcentral.